GGGGAUGUCAUGGUUUCGACAGGAUUUCGUUGGAUUCAGGUUGCAGUGGAGUGGUUGCCUAACAACCAAACAAAAAAAUAACUGGAAAUCAAAAUCUAGCUUACGCUGCCUAAUUUAGUUUAAUCUAAUUGCAGUGCGUCACUACCAAUUUGGUCUUUGGGUUGGUAACUGAUGACAGAAACGAAGACUAAGCUUAACGUUUAUCUAGGGCGUUCUGACGAAAACCUUUACUAGGUAAUUCAUCGUUUGUUUGUCUGUUUCUCAAAUGAUGUCGUAAUGAAAACAGAAUAAACUGUAGAUGCUUGAAUGUGGACAUUUUUUGGACAGGAGUUCGACUCUCCUCAUCUCCACCA
This 353-nucleotide transfer-messenger RNA is filed under the name Erysipelothrix sp. It matches the Rfam family "transfer-messenger RNA". From Rfam's summary of the family: Bacterial tmRNA, also known as 10Sa RNA or SsrA, is named for its dual tRNA and mRNA-like properties. Its role is to liberate the mRNA from a stalled ribosome. To accomplish this part of the tmRNA is used as a reading frame that ends in a translation stop signal. Lineage: Bacteria; Bacillati; Bacillota; Erysipelotrichia; Erysipelotrichales; Erysipelotrichaceae. The record is from RNAcentral. RNAcentral also lists the same sequence under 1 other name.